RNAcentral lists this long non-coding RNA (4481 nucleotides) under Homo sapiens (human). RNAcentral describes it as "HSALNT0344853". Lineage: Eukaryota; Metazoa; Chordata; Mammalia; Primates; Hominidae. The record is from RNAcentral.
CUGGGGGUUUUAUGACCGCCUUUUUCAGGGGUGGACUGUUGGGCCACCUGAAACACACACAAACACACACAUGUCGAUGGUUAAGCACGUUGGAUAUUCACACACCCACAGGAAGCCACCUGCUAACUCCCUGCCUGUGUGGUCAUGAGGAGACCUCACCACCAGUCGGUCAAAUCUGUAGAACACAAUGUGCUGCGCGCAUCCUCGGAUAUUGUGUGUUCCUCUGCCAUGACUACCUAGUCCAAGAGUAAACCCCACCUGCCACAGGGCCCGUGGCCUAGGUAUGGGGGGUUGAGCUUUCAACCCCAAACAAACAACUGAUUCUGGAGACUGGACUUAGGUCUCUCACGAUUCACUCCGGUAGAAGACACGGUGAUUCUAUCUCCCUUGACGGACAGAAUGAUCGAAGACACAGGGCAUGGCGUGUGCCACCCUUUGGCAGGUCUGCUUGAAGUCAGGGAUAAGGGAUGCUUCCUGUGACAACUUGAAUCGCUACUCUUGCCAUUUCAUUAGGCAACUUCCAAACACAAAUUCAUACAGAGAAGUUACCUUCCUCUCUACCGCACUAGCAGGCUGGCGCUGAGAUGGGCAGGUGCUGCAGCAGCCCCGCUGGAAGCGAUGCAGCAUCCAGAACGACGGAGGAAGGGGCGGAGAGGGACCUCUGCUUUCCAGGCUGCCUUUUAUACUGCCUCUGGUCACCUGACAUGGAACGUACCCUAACCUAAUCAGUUACCUGUACCUUAAUUGCAAUUAACUUAAUCCAGUUACAUGACCUGGAAAGGUCUAUCUGCACAGCCCACUCUAAGAUCCUGUCCACUGCUGACAGACAUUCUAAAACCUACUUGUACAGCUGCAAGCUUUGAACAAUAGAUGUUCCCCGUCAGACAUGUAACACUGGUGCCUGUAUCCCUGUCUUCUUUUCCAUCUUUUUUGUUGUUUUGUUUUGUUUCGUUUUAAAAAAUGUGGUAAAAUAGACACCUUUUAAUUGGACCACAUUUUGUCUCUCUCGACGUAGGCCUCAGUGUCAUCAAGGAGACUCUCCUUGACAUGCAGUCACGGCCAUGAUCCAUCUUCAGAGCUUCUCUUUCUUCCCCAAGGCUGGCGCUGAGAUGGGCAGGUGCUGCAGCAGCCCCGCUGGAAGCGAUGCAGCAUCCAGAACGACGGAGGAAGGGGCGGAGAGGGACCUCCGCUUUCCAGGCUGCCUUUUAUACUGCCUCUGGUCACCUGACAUGGAACGUACCCUAACCUAAUCAGUUACCUGUACCUUAAUUGCAAUUAACUUAAUCCAAUUACAUGACCUGGAAAGGUCUAUCUGCACAGCCCACUCUAAGAUCCUGUCCACUGCUGACAGACAUUCUAAAACCUACUUGUACAGCUGCAAGCUUUGAACAAUAGAUGUUCCCCGUCAGACAUGUAACACUGGUGCCUGUACCCCUGUCUUCCUUUCCAUCUUUUUUGUUGUUUUGUUUUGUUUCGUUUUAAAAAAUGUGGUAAAAUAGACACCUUUUAAUUGGACCACAUUUUGUCUCUCUCGACGUAGGCCUCAGUGUCAUCAAGGAGACUCUCCUUGACAUGCAGUCACGGCCAUGAUCCAUCUUCAGAGCUUCUCUUUCUUCCCCAAGGCUGGCGCUGAGAUGGGCAGGUGCUGCAGCAGCCCCGCUGGAAGCGAUGCAGCAUCCAGAACGACGGAGGAAGGGGCGGAGAGGGACCUCUGCUUUCCAGGCUGCCUUUUAUACUGCCUCUGGUCACCUGACAUGGAACGUACCCUAACCUAAUCAGUUACCUGUACCUUAAUUGCAAUUAACUUAAUCCAGUUACAUGACCUGGAAAGGUCUAUCUGCACAGCCCACUCUAAGAUCCUGUCCACUGCUGACAGACAUUCUAAAACCUACUUGUACAGCUGCAAGCUUUGAACAAUAGAUGUUCCCCGUCAGACAUGUAACACUGGUGCCUGUAUCCCUGUCUUCUUUUCCAUCUUUUUUGUUGUUUUGUUUUGUUUCGUUUUAAAAAAUGUGGUAAAAUAGACACCUUUUAAUUGGACCACAUUUUGUCUCUCUCGACGUAGGCCUCAGUGUCAUCAAGGAGACUCUCCUUGACAUGCAGUCACGGCCAUGAUCCAUCUUCAGAGCUUCUCUUUCUUCCCCAAGGUAAGUCUGUCAGCAGAGAACCCUGACCGCACCCUCAUGUGUUUUCUCCCCCAGGAGGCGCUUGGAAACCACCGUGAAUUGGACCGCACUGGGAAACACAGAUGAGGAAAGUCAACAACGCUUUGUCCUUCAGUGCCUGGCUCCUUUUUCAGCUCGUCUUGCGACUCCCGGACGCCUGUGAGGCUCUAAUUCCCUGGGUCCCAUUGCCAUGUCUCUGGAUUUGCGAAGAUCCACCGCACCUUCUGUGGAACUCCCGUGUCGGUGAACUUUUGUGCCACGGCCCCUAAUUCUGCCCAUGGUCAUCCGCACCUGCACGACUUAGGGUCCAUGUUCCUUGGACGGGAAGAGACAGGCAGGAGUCGGAAUGAUGAACCAGCACACUGGGGCGUUUUCUCAUGUAGCCCAAGUGACCCCAUGGUCUUCUCGAGCUUUGGAACCAGUCGCGUCCCCUUUGACACUGCACCCGGCUCCCAGUCUCUCAAUCUUGUUGGCCCUCCGGCGAUCUCCCGUUGGAUGAAUUGCUCCUGCUGAAACUCCAGUCCCCUUUGAUUUACGCUUCAUUAAUUAUUCAUGAUUCAGGUUGGAAGGCCUGCUGACGACCCCCUGUGGCCGUUCUCUGAGCUUUCCUGUCACAUCGUUUCCUUCCACGCUCUUUGGUUCCUUAUGGUCCUGCUCCCUCUGCUGUCAGAGGAGCAGAGAGUUGAUCUUAUUCAUUCUGGAUACGGAUACUUUCUAGGUGAUCUGGAUAAUCAAGAUAACGACCCUCAACAGCGGCGGAGAGGGAGCAGCCAGUUGGUGUGUCUCAGAAAAUCCCACUGAGUUCCGAGGCCUCCUAGAUGUGGAAUCCUGCUGAGAGUUGUUCCCAGGUCAGAGAAUGGAGAGAGCCUGUGCAUGAUGGGAUAUCCCCGCCUAGAUCUUUCAGUGAGUCUCUACCUCAGCUACUCUUAGGAUCAGGGGGAGAACCAUGGUGUCAGACAUCCGGAAAGAAGACGGGAUGAAUGUUUUACCUCUGAAGUACAUCCCAAAUGUGGGAGUUAACUUCAGCUUUGCUGGGGUCUAUUUGGCCAGUGAAACUCUGCCUGGUUCCUUCGCACAUCCGGAAGCCACUUCACGGGGGGCCGUCGCAACUGGAACCACACACUUGGCAUCGGCGGUUGAGCCAAAUGGGGACUCGUGGUGCAAGCAACGCUCCCCACGUGUUAGCGUGCGUGAGAUGCGGUUGGCGGAAUUUUACUAGGUGCGUGUUGGUAGAGUGGGGCUGAGGUUUUCUUGCUCCUGUGGAUGUAUAGCAAGUCAAAGGUCCUGCCCAGCCCUGCGGUCCCCUCAGUCAACUCUGUUUCGGAGACGUAACGAUUUGGAUUGCCAACAAGUCAAGAAAUGUUCAAGCCCUUGGAUGUAGGGUAAAGAAAGAGAGAUCAGACUGUCACUGUGUCUAUGUAGAAGGGGAAGACAUAAGAGACUCCAUUUUGAAAAAGACCUGUAGUUUAAACAAUUGCUUUGCUGAGAUGUUGAUCAUUUGUAGCUUUGCCGCAGCCCCUUCCUUUGACCCAACUUGGAGCUCACAAAAACCUGUGUUGUAUAAAAUCGAGGUUUAAGGGAUCUAGGGCUGUGCAGGACGCGCCUUGUUAACCAAAUGUUUACGAGCAGUAUACUUGGUAGGAGUCAUUGCCAUUCCCUAGUCUCAAUAAACCAGGGGCGCAAUGCACCGUGGAAAGCCACAGGGACCUCUGCCCUUGAAAGCAGGUUAUUGUCCAAGGUUUCUCCCCAUGUGACAGUCUGAAAUAUGGCCUCGUGGGAUGGGAAAGACCUGACUGUCCCCCAGCCUGACACCCGCAAUGGGUCUGUGCUGAGGUGGAUUAGUCAAAGAGGAAAGCCUCUUGCAGUUCAGAUGGAGGAAGGCCACUGUCUCCUGCUUGCCCCUGGGAACUGAAUGUCUCGGUGUAAAGCCCGAUCGUACAUUUGUUCAACUCUGAGCUCGGAGAAAAGCUGCCCUGUGGCGGGAGGCGAGACAUGUUGGCAGUAAUGCUGCCUUGUUAUUCUUUACUCCGCUGAGAUAUUUGUGUGGAGAGAAACAUAAAUCUGGCCUACGUGCACGUCCAGGCAUAGUACCUUCCCUUGAACUUAAUAAUGAUAUGGAUUCUUUUGCUCACGUGUUUGUUUUUGUUGUUGCUGUUGAACUUCCCCUUAUUAUCACCCUGCUCCCCUACUGCAUUCCUUUGUGCUGUAAUAAUGAUAAUCAUAAUCAAUAAAAACUGAGGGAACUCAGAGGCCGGUGCCGGUGCAGGUCCUAGGUGUGCUGAGUGCCGGUCCCCUGGACCCACUGUUGUCUCCCUA